GGAAAAAUGGGGUGUGAAAAACUCAAAGCCAUUGUGAUUUAGAUCUUUUACAUAAAGUUAAAAUCGGCAUGAAUUUUGUAAGAGAGGAAAAUAGUAGUACUCUGAAAAAAGCCACUUUUAUACAGCCAGUACUUCGUUAAGAAGAUUUUAUAAUAGGUAGAAUAUAAUCAUAUCUUGUUUAUUAUCAUCAAUAUUUUUUAUUUCAUUUUUUUUACAUAUUAAUUUUAUCAACUUACGUGAUAUACACCACAUUGUCAUUUUAUCAUGUGCGUUCACGGUCUGUUUUGUUUACAAGUGGCACGUUUCUGUAUAGAAGUGUACAUGUCCCUCGCUUUACCCUGUUCUGUGCCUCAAACAAGAAAAAAUAAAUGUAGUAUAAAUGAGUUGACACAAGGAAGUACCUAGCUGGUCUGAAUAUCUCUAACUUGUAUAUAAAGAACGUGAAGCGUUGUAAAGAAACAAUUCAACAUGUCCUUCAUGACAGCACAAUCUGGGGUUUGGAGUGGAUAUUACAUACAAUAUGGCAUUCGGUAUCCUUUCAGCAUACAACUUUUUCUCGGUAACUUUGACGAAUCGGUGAAAGGCGAAGGAACAGACAGUAUCGGUAAUUUUAUGAUCAACGGAUCAUGGAGGAAGUGUGACGGGUUGGUGAAGUUUACAAAGCAGUAUAUCGGCGCUCACUCUGUGGUUUAUGGCGGUCUUUUAUCCUCUGAUGGCAGGCACAUGGAUGGGAAAUACAUCGUUGGGGAAAGUGUUGGAGAUUUCCACAUGGAAAUUUCAAGUUAAACAAUUAUCAGCUGUAUUUUCACUCAGAUAUAGCAUACAAUGACUAGAAAAUUGUAUACACAACUGUUUGUUAUGUAUAUGAACUUUUAGAAGGCUGAAAUGUGGUAAUGUAUUUCAGAUAAGUACAUUUAUCAUUAAACAUUUGUUUAACUUUG
Molecule: long non-coding RNA, 941 nt
Organism: Ostrea edulis (European flat oyster)
Lineage: Eukaryota; Metazoa; Mollusca; Bivalvia; Ostreida; Ostreidae
Exons: 3
Source: RefSeq, a predicted model, not a curated record